GCUGGACAUUUUUUUAAAAAAGUCAACUCAACAAAAUCUGUCUUUGAUCAACUCAACGAAAACUGUCUUUGAUCAACACAUCAUCUCAAUCGUUGGGCGAAACGCCGACGCGGUUAGCUCAUCAAGUGUGCUAUCUGAUCUCGAAAAGGAAACCCGCGGUGGAGGGCACAGAAGUAUGGAGAAAGGGAGGGGGGGGUGAGAAUAAACAAGAUUAG
RNAcentral lists this long non-coding RNA (215 nucleotides) under Bemisia tabaci. RNAcentral describes it as "lncRNA ENSSSA2NGG006570". The record is from RNAcentral. Lineage: Eukaryota; Metazoa; Arthropoda; Insecta; Hemiptera; Aleyrodidae.